Molecule: ribosomal RNA, 576 nt
Filed under: Saccharomyces cerevisiae (brewer's yeast)
Lineage: Eukaryota; Fungi; Ascomycota; Saccharomycetes; Saccharomycetales; Saccharomycetaceae
Description: partial large subunit ribosomal RNA
Rfam family: Eukaryotic large subunit ribosomal RNA
Source: RNAcentral
UUAGUACGGCGAGUGAGCGGCAAAAGCUCAAAUUUGAAAUCUGGUACCUUCGGUGCCCGAGUUGUAAUUUGGAGAGGGCAACUUUGGGGCCGUUCCUUGUCUAUGUUCCUUGGAACAGGACGUCAUAGAGGGUGAGAAUCCCGUGUGGCGAGGAGUGCGGUUCUUUGUAAAGUGCCUUCGAAGAGUCGAGUUGUUUGGGAAUGCAGCUCUAAGUGGGUGGUAAAUUCCAUCUAAAGCUAAAUAUUGGCGAGAGACCGAUAGCGAACAAGUACAGUGAUGGAAAGAUGAAAAGAACUUUGAAAAGAGAGUGAAAAAGUACGUGAAAUUGUUGAAAGGGAAGGGCAUUUGAUCAGACAUGGUGUUUUGUGCCCUCUGCUCCUUGUGGGUAGGGGAAUCUCGCAUUUCACUGGGCCAGCAUCAGUUUUGGUGGCAGGAUAAAUCCAUAGGAAUGUAGCUUGCCUCGGUAAGUAUUAUAGCCUGUGGGAAUACUGCCAGCUGGGACUGAGGACUGCGACGUAAGUCAAGGAUGCUGGCAUAAUGGUUAUAUGCCGCCCGUCUUGAAACACGGACACCACA